AAAAUCUUCUAGGAGCAGCUAACAAGAAUCCUAAUACAGGAGUGUUUAUGGUUGGGUUGAGACACAUUCAGUAGCUGAGUGAUUGACAGCAAGAGGAGCAAGACAUGAGGAGCUGGUGACACAGUUAUUAUGGAAGGAUAACUGAUAGUCUUAAGUUAAUAAUUAUCAAAUAUAUGGCAAUGCUGGACUUUAGCUGAUCAUCGUGCUUCUGGAAAACAACAAAAAUUGAGAUAUCUGUUCACCACUUUGUGUGUCCAAGGACCACCUACUUUUUACAUGUGACAAGAACUACCCACCUCCACUCUUCAGGAUAGAACAUGCUGAAGAAAAGAGUUGCAAUGAGAAAAUAUAUGGGAACAAAAUACCUAUGCAAUGCAGAAGUCUGCAUAACUGAACCACUCAGAGGAAAAAGUUUCCCUCCCAGGCUGGAGUACAAUGGCGCGACCUCGGCUCACUGCAACUUCCACCUCCCAGUUCAAGCAAUUCUCCCACCUCAGCUUCCUUAGUAGCUGGGAUUACAAGUGCCUGACACCAGGCCAAGCUAUUUUUGUAUUUUUAGUAGAGACGGGGUUUCACCAUUUUGACCAGGCUGGUCUCAAACUCCUGACCUCAGUCCAUCGGUCCACCUCGGCCUCCCAAAGUGCUGGGAUUGCAGGCAUGAGCCACCGCUCCUGGCCUCAAGUUUAAUUCUUAAAUUGCCAUUUCAGGACACCUCCUACAUCUGAGGAAAUAUGCAUUGAUCUUGCAGUACUUUUCUCCUCCAAAUAAAAGUCAGUAUGAUAACAACUACACUAUCAGAAGAUUAAUGUCCACAACGUGCACUGGCAUGUUCAUCACAGCAGUAUUCUCAAUAGUAAAGACAAAGAAUUGGCCAGGCGCGGUGGCUCACACCUGUAAUCCCAGCACUUUGGAAGGC
RNAcentral lists this long non-coding RNA (916 nucleotides) under Homo sapiens (human). RNAcentral describes it as "HSALNT0294390". The record is from RNAcentral. Lineage: Eukaryota; Metazoa; Chordata; Mammalia; Primates; Hominidae.